Molecule: ribosomal RNA, 423 nt
Filed under: uncultured bacterium
Lineage: Bacteria
Description: bacterial SSU rRNA
Rfam family: Bacterial small subunit ribosomal RNA
Source: RNAcentral
CAAGACCUGCGCUUUUGGAGCGGCCGAUGCCUGAUUAGCUUGUUGGUAAGGUAAAAGCUUACCAAGGCUUCGAUCAGUAGCUGGUCUGAGAGGACGACCAGCCACACUGGGACUGAGACACGGCCCAGACUCCUACGGGAGGCAGCAGUGGGGAAUUUUGGACAAUGGGGGCAACCCUGAUCCAGCCAUGCCGCGUGAGUGAAGAAGGCCUUCGGGUUGUAAAGCUCUUUCAGCCGGAACGAAACGGUUACGGUUAAUAUCCGUGACUACUGACGGUACCGGAAGAAGAAGCACCGGCUAACUACGUGCCAGCAGCCGCGGUAAUACGUAGGGUGCGAGCGUUAAUCGGAAUUACUGGGCGUAAAGCGUGCGCAGGUGGUUUUGUAAGUCAGAUGUGAAAGCCCCGGGCUCAACCUGGGAACU